GGAGAGGUCGCAUAGUGGUUUAGUGCGAAGGUCUUGAAAACCUUUAUGGGGGAAACCUCAUCGGGGGUUCGAAUCCCCCCCUCUCCG
Molecule: transfer RNA, 87 nt
Filed under: Candidatus Levyibacteriota bacterium
Lineage: Bacteria; Candidatus Levyibacteriota
Description: tRNA-Ser
Rfam family: tRNA
About the family: Transfer RNA (tRNA) molecules are approximately 80 nucleotides in length. Their secondary structure includes four short double-helical elements and three loops (D, anti-codon, and T loops).
Source: RNAcentral